UGUGUUCAGGGGAUGUGUGUGUGAC
This 25-nucleotide non-coding RNA is filed under the name Mus musculus (house mouse). Lineage: Eukaryota; Metazoa; Chordata; Mammalia; Rodentia; Muridae. The record is from RNAcentral.